GACGUAGGAGGCGAGCGUUGUCCGGAUUUAUUGGGCGUAAAGAGCGUGUAGGCGGCCAGGUAGGUCCGUUGUGAAAACUCGAGGCUCAACCUCGAGACGUCGAUGGAAACCAUCUGGCUAGAGUCCGGAAGAGGAGAGUGGAAUUCCUGGUGUAGCGGUGAAAUGCGCAGAUAUCAGGAAGAACACCUAUGGCGAAGGCAGCUCUCUGGGACGGUACUGACGCUGAGACGCGAAAGCGUGGGGAGCGAACAGG
RNAcentral lists this ribosomal RNA (253 nucleotides) under uncultured bacterium. RNAcentral's name for it is "partial 16S ribosomal RNA". It matches the Rfam family "Bacterial small subunit ribosomal RNA", at positions 524 to 776 of the family's 1533-position model. The record is from RNAcentral.